Molecule: transfer RNA, 76 nt
Filed under: Haemophilus influenzae
Lineage: Bacteria; Pseudomonadati; Pseudomonadota; Gammaproteobacteria; Pasteurellales; Pasteurellaceae
Description: tRNA-Lys(ctt)
Rfam family: tRNA
About the family: Transfer RNA (tRNA) molecules are approximately 80 nucleotides in length. Their secondary structure includes four short double-helical elements and three loops (D, anti-codon, and T loops). Further hydrogen bonds mediate the characteristic L-shaped molecular structure. tRNAs have two regions of fundamental functional importance: the anti-codon, which is responsible for specific mRNA codon recognition, and the 3' end, to which the tRNAs corresponding amino acid is attached (by aminoacyl-tRNA synthetases). tRNAs cope with the degeneracy of the genetic code in two manners: having more than one tRNA (with a specific anti-codon) for a particular amino acid; and 'wobble' base-pairing, i.e. permitting non-standard base-pairing at the 3rd anti-codon position.
Source: RNAcentral
GGGUCGUUAGCUCAGUUGGUAGAGUAGUGGACUCUUAAUCCGUCGGUCGAGAGUUCGAGCCUCUCACAACCUACCA